This is a non-coding RNA of Megalopta genalis, 1362 nucleotides long. Lineage: Eukaryota; Metazoa; Arthropoda; Insecta; Hymenoptera; Halictidae. The record is from RefSeq and is a predicted model, not a curated record.
CUCGUAGAGAAGAGGUAUCGAGGACCUCCGAGUUCAGCUUACGGUCCUGACAUCUUGGUCGCGCAUUCUCUGCGCGCAUACUCGGCGCGGUACAUGAAACGCGUUCCAAUCUGUACUAGCUGGUAGAACGUCUCAGGGAGUCAAGGAGAGCACUCGCGAGUCAAGCAGGGCCCAAAUUUGUUAAUAGAAAACUAAGGAACAGUUCGGUUCUGAGCACACACGUUCCAGCUGCCGAAGGACGUUCGUAAUCUAAAAAUUUUCAAACUUCACGAUCUACAAUGUUAAACUUAGCCGUUCACUAAACGAAGAGUAAAAAUAUUCAUGCAAAAAUUGCAAUUGGUUGGGCUGACGGAAAAAAACGUAUUUGUAACUUGUAUGCAUGCUGAAAAUGUCAACGAAAUCAGCUAUCGUUGUUAUGAAAUACAAACAACUUGAGAUUUAGAAAAUUGGAGCUCUUCACGAUUUUCGAUCAGUUUAACAGUUUCUACCAAUAACUUAAACAUGUACGUUGCCGAUAUCUACAAAACGUAUUGUUUUACCCUUGCACUAUGAGAACGUGUCAGACUUGUGAUGAAGAUUUCAUAUUACAUAUAAUCUAUUAUACAUAUACGAAUGUUAUUAAUUUCGUCUAGAUGGAUACAAAAUUUGGUUUUUCUGUUACCAAAAUCAAGAUGAUUUCUUGCUUGAACCUUUUUGAAAAUACAUUUUACUUAAUGAACAUUUUGCGUGAACUGACCAAGAUGAAAUCGGAAUUUGUGAUACAUAAAUAGCAAUAACAAAAUUUUGUAAGCAUCUAUGGUAUACAUUCAUUUAUAACGUUUCAAAUAUAGAUUAUGCACCGUUCAAGAAUUAAAAGUUGUAAACGAUACUGCCUAAUGUGACGUUAACUUCGGCAAGAAUAUAAUGAAAAAUUAACAAAAACUGAGGAGGAGAUUAUAUUACAAAUUGUUGUCGAAAAUAGAAAACAGUUUCACAACAUAAAAAAACAAACAUUAUCCAAAAAUAUAUCAAAUAUUUUAACGAGCUUUUUGAAGAGAUAUUUCUUUUCGGCUCUAGAACAGUAUUUUUGUAUAUAUCUACAUACAUAAAUAUCUAUAUUAUUUUUAAGUGUGUGGAAUAAUGUCUUAAACGAAAGUUGUACUGUUCGACUAAAUUAAUAUAAUGGCAAGGAAAACAUAUUUUUUAUUGUCAGUUUUCGAAACUUUAAGCUCAUAUUUCUUUCUUUUACUUUAUUUUCGGAUUUUCCUUCCGUAUCAUUAUAAAACAUGGAAAGACAAAUUCAACGUUGUAUAAACAUGCACUAUAUCUGCGAUGCACUAUAAUUGAGAAAAUUAAGUUCCAAAAAUAUAUUUUUUUUCCACA